This 401-nucleotide ribosomal RNA is filed under the name uncultured bacterium. RNAcentral's name for it is "bacterial SSU rRNA". It matches the Rfam family "Bacterial small subunit ribosomal RNA", at positions 28 to 428 of the family's 1533-position model. The record is from RNAcentral.
GACGAACGCUGGCGGCGUGCUUAACACAUGCAAGUCGAGCGGUAAGGCCCUUUCGGGGGUACACGAGCGGCGAACGGGUGAGUAACACGUGGGUGACCUGCCCUCAGCUCUGGGAUAAGCCUGGGAAACCGGGUCUAAUACUGGAUAUGACUCCAUGACGCAUGUUGUGGGGUGGAAAGCCUUGUGCGGCUGAGGAUGGGCCCGCGGCCUAUCAGCUUGUUGGUGGGGUGAUGGCCUACCAAGGCGACGACGGGUAGCCGGCCUGAGAGGGCGACCGGCCACACUGGGACUGAGACACGGCCCAGACUCCUACGGGGGGCGAGCAGUGGGGAAGUCUUGCGCAAUGGGCGGAAAGACCUGACGCAGCGACGCCGCGUGAGGGAUGACGGCCUCGGUUGUAA